Non-coding RNA from Cinara cedri, 1059 nucleotides. The record is from the annotation of a GenBank genome assembly. NCBI's taxonomy places the organism in Eukaryota, Metazoa, Arthropoda, Insecta, Hemiptera, Aphididae.
AAUUGGGAUAAGUCUCAAUUUCCGUUUAUAAGUAGGUACAAGGUUUAUAGCGGGCCAACCCAAACAAUUCCUAGCUACGCCCCUGAUCAUUGCCCCAAAAAAAAACAAAUACCUAUCAUAACAAUGCAAAAUUAUUAGUUUAACAAUAUAGUAUAUUGUGUGGGUAGAAUCCGUAGAAAUUGCACAGUCUUCGAUAUCGAAAAAGAUAAGUCGAUAGAUAGGUCGGUAAUUUAAGUUUGAGUAAACCCUGCCUAACUAUUAUAUAAUUAAACUCCUAAAAGUAAAAUUAAUUACUUCCAUGAAUCCGGAUACUUGUGAGUGUUCAUUGUCGAUUACCGUGCAGAACAUUAAACAUAUUGGCUUCGAAAUUCCACGUUCAUCUAGAUAAGUUUACGCCGAUUCGUCUAUUAUUCAUAAUACAUAGAACAAAAAGUAAUUUCAAAUAGUUAAUUCGUUCAAAAUAUACGUAUUAAAAUGCGUAUUUGCAAAACCCGACUAUGUUACAAAUUAUAUUAGAUUUAUAGAUUAUUAUCAUUGUAAAAAAUACAUUUUACAUGUAUGUAGUAUGGUUCAUAACUUAAUAUAGUGUGUUUGUUAUGAGAUUAAAUUAUCAACAAUUCAGUUUGGUUGGUUAUAAAAAAUAACUCGUAGUAUGCACCAAAUAUCAAGUAAGUACCUUUACUCUGACGUUAUUUUUUUCUUUUUUACGUAAUUCUUAGUGUAAUAAAUAAAUAAUCAUUGGUUAAAAAAAUGUUUUCGUUUAUCCCCUGAAUAUAAUAUCUUUCUGUGUUUACAUUAUUUCCCGUUUGCUUAGGGGAAUAAUUUAAAAUGUGUACAUUGCGCGUAGGUUUAACAAACAUUAAAAUAUAUUCAAUGUAAUGUUGUGUAAUGUGUUGACAAUGAUUAACGCUAAAAUAUCCGGUUUAAUGAAUUUACCGGUAAAUCUCUUCACACAAAACUGAAAAUAAAUAUUGCGCGAAAAUACGUAAUCUAAAACAUCACGCGAAAAACCUAAUAAAUGCUCCUUGAGAUUACGUCAACGCCACUCCCUAUUGAUGG